AGAAUCAACGCUGGCGGCGUGCCUCAGACAUGCAAGUCGAACGCGAAAGUUCCCUUCGGGGGGCAAGUAGAGUGGCGCACGGGUGAGUAACACGUAGGUAAUCUACCUUUGGAUGGGGAAUAACAACCGGAAACGGUUGCUAAUACCGCAUAAUGCAGCGGCACCUAAUGGUGACAGUUGUUAAAGCGGGGGAUCGAAAGACCUCGCGUCUGAAGAGGAGCCUGCGGCGGAUUAGCUAGUUGGUAAGGUAACGGCUUACCAAGGCGACGAUCCGUA
RNAcentral lists this ribosomal RNA (276 nucleotides) under uncultured soil bacterium. RNAcentral describes it as "partial 16S ribosomal RNA". It matches the Rfam family "Bacterial small subunit ribosomal RNA", at positions 26 to 285 of the family's 1533-position model. The record is from RNAcentral.